This 260-nucleotide ribosomal RNA is filed under the name uncultured bacterium. RNAcentral's name for it is "partial 16S ribosomal RNA". It matches the Rfam family "Bacterial small subunit ribosomal RNA", at positions 793 to 1055 of the family's 1533-position model. The record is from RNAcentral.
GUCCACGCUGUAAACGAUGUCAACUAGCCGUCGGGUCUUCGUGCCCUUGGUGGCGUAGCUAACGCGAUAAGUUGACCGCCUGGGGAGUACGGUCGCAAGAUUAAACUCAAAUGAAUUGACGGGGCCCGCACAAGCGGUGGAGCAUGUGGUUUAAUUCGACGCAACGCGAAGAACCUUACCAGGUCUUGACAUCCAGAGAAGUCGCUAGAGAUAGCUUCGUGCCUUCGGGAACUCUGAGACAGGUGCUGCAUGGCUGUCGU